Cyanistes caeruleus (blue tit) is the source of this 1869-nucleotide long non-coding RNA. RefSeq lists it as uncharacterized. Lineage: Eukaryota; Metazoa; Chordata; Aves; Passeriformes; Paridae. The record is from RefSeq and is a predicted model, not a curated record.
UGUACUUUAUGUUUGCAUGUAUUAUUGCUACUAUGUUACAAUAGUUUAAAGGUGACAUCACAGCUGAGACUUUCAGAACUUGAAUGUAGAUAUCUGCUGUACUUUCUAAGUGGCUGUCAAAACAUUUUUUUCCUGCUUAUGGUGAUAAGUCUCCCUUUCUUCAGGUGCUACAGAGACAUUGUUUUGUUAUUCAUAUAUGAGGGAAACUGCCAGAUCUAGGUGGGCAAUAUAAAUUCAUGAUAUCAGAGUAAAUUGUCAGUUAAGCCCUAAGAUGAUUCAGGCUUCAAAUAUGUUGAAGUGGCAUAGUUUGGAAUCCUUUUCCUCCUGCCACAAAGAAUUCUUUGAUUCUUUCGAGUGACCAUCAGCUUCAGAGUUUGAAUGAAUCACAUGACUCUCUGCCACACCACAGAUGUCAGGGUCUAUGGGCAGGCCUUCUUGGUGGAUGAGAAAUUGAACAAAAAGUCUACCUUUUUUUGAUAAGGGCAAGAUGGCUACAGCCGCCUGUUAACUGAAUUAAUCAGAGUGAAAAUAGCUGCUCUCAAGAAUCCUGGUCCCAAGUGCUACUUCUCCACUGCAGGAAGCAGAUGGUUCCUGAGAGCUGACUUGGAGGAUAUUUUUAUACUGCAGCCGAGAUACAAGUGCAGCUUAUGAAGACAAGGAGCGGAUCCACAGUAACAGGGAGCUCACUGCAGGCUGCAGUCUGUGGGAGGGAGCUUUGGUGAAGACGCACGCAGGUAUUUUAUCUGACGCUCUGACUCAGAUAAUUUGCCUGGAGCUGAGCAUUGCCACAUGCUAUCCUUGUGUUACUCCUGGAGCAGAAACGUGAAACUAGUUUAGAAGAAUCCAAAUGAGUGAACUUCCUUUUGUUGCGUAAAUACAAUCUCGAGAUGGAAAACAAACUUAGCUACAAUUAUUGUAUUGUACCUAAACAGAGAGAAGGACCAAGACCAACAUUGCGGCAUUUCCUAAGACUAAACGGUGCUCAGAUACAGCCAUUUUAAAACUACAAAUGAAAGACAAAUGUCCUUGGCACACAGCCUACAAACAUGGAUGUGGAAGGCAACCUGAAAAUAAGAUCAGCCACUGCAGCUGGUGAAAAGCCAGACACUUCAUUCAAGCCACCGAGGCUUGCUCCACGCUGAGCUGCCUAGAGCUGCCCACAGGCUGGCAGGAAGAUCUGAAUGUCUGUCGGCAGGCAGUGUGUCCUGCAGGGGUGCCCACUGCUCUGCUGAGUGCCCAAGUGGGUAUUUUGGCCCAGACAUCCAUGUAGAGGGUGCCAGCUGGGCAGGGACAUCUCCCUCAAGGUGCUUGAAGGGCUUCCCGCCUGACACCUGGGUGUCCACAGUGCCGUCAUUUGUAUCCCAUCGUGCGUCCCUGCUCUCUAGGCCUGGAGCCUGUGUGGGCAGCACCGUCCUGCUGAUGGCCACGGGUUACAACUUUCAGUCCAAACAGAGCCUGACCUGGGACUGCUGCAGUGGGUAAUAUUCUUGUGGCAUGUGUAAGAAGAUUUCUGCUGUACCAUUGCACUAUUUCAUGAUGCAGUGCACACCCAGAGGAGGACCCGACUGCAGAGAGAUCGCUGCCACGUGCCGGAUCUACAGAUGCAUUGGGAACGCCUGCCUGUGUAAACACAGAUGCUAUUUUGCAAAAGUUUCUAGAUAGCAGCUGAAUGAUGACUCAGACAUUUUUUGUCACUGCAGAGCUGCACAUGGUCUUGUGUACAGCAUCGUGAAAGACAUUAGAGCAAACGUACCAAUGAAGAGCUCUUUACUCUGGAAUUUUUGUGCACCCCACAUUUUUGCAAUAAUGCUCUCUGCAAUAAGCCAUAAUGUUCUGUGACACGACAUGCAUAGCAAUAAAAAGAGAUAA